AACUCUCAACAACAGAUAUCUCGGCUCUCGCAUCGAUGAAGAACGCAGCGAAAUGCAAUACUUGGUGUGAAUUGCAGAAUCUCACGAACCAUCGAGUCUUUGAACACAAGUUGCCCGCAGCCUUUUGGCCGAGGGAACAUCUUCCUGGGAAUAA
Jatropha curcas is the source of this 154-nucleotide ribosomal RNA. RefSeq annotates it as 5.8S ribosomal RNA. NCBI's taxonomy places the organism in Eukaryota, Viridiplantae, Streptophyta, Magnoliopsida, Malpighiales, Euphorbiaceae. The record is from RefSeq and is a predicted model, not a curated record.